RNAcentral lists this long non-coding RNA (1820 nucleotides) under Citrus sinensis (sweet orange). Its description in RNAcentral is "long non-coding RNA (CSIN_LNC004614)". Lineage: Eukaryota; Viridiplantae; Streptophyta; Magnoliopsida; Sapindales; Rutaceae. The record is from RNAcentral.
CACUCUUCAAUUUCAAUUCCAUUCUCCACUCUCUAAUGCUUGAUCUGGUAGCCCUUUUUUUCUUUUAAUAUCUGGUGUCAUUUUGCAUAAAAAUUUUGAGUGUGAAUUUUGGGUGACCUUAAGGAGAAAGUUAUUAAUUUUGGCCUCUCCUUACUUAUUUAAUUGUUUGGGAUUAUGUGUUUAACAAUCUGAAUAAUUUUCUUUUUUUAUUAAUUGAAUGGUUGUUGCUGGUUAGGGUUGAAGCAAGUGGCAUCUAUGGAAUGCAAAAAUAUUUUGAGAAGUGAUUUCCAUGGGCACUUGGGAGCUUAAGAUUUCAAGACGGUAAGUUUUUUUCUAUUUUUUGUCAUAUUCAUGCUCUGUUAUUUUAAUAUUUAAUUUGAACCGCUUUGGAUUCUAUAUAUUUAUAGAAUGCUCUGUAUUGUUCUGUUCUAUUUAUAAAAUGUAGUAUUGAAAACAAAAAGAAAAAAAUUCUUGUCUUUAGUGUUCUAUUUGUGAUACAAGAUGCUGCCAGAAGCUCAUCGAUGUUCUGUUAAAGGUGGAAGCUUACAUAGUGAUGGAUAAUUUAGGAAUGAUGCCGGUGUCUACUAUAUCUUCUAUAACUUUGCUUAUUGAAUUGGAUGUUAAGGAUAUGGGUGUGCUUUAGGAGUAUCCAUGAGAUGAGAAGUAAAACUGUGUGAGAUCAAGAUCGAGUUUAGUAAUUAAAGCCAAGCUCACUCUUCAUCGACUCGCUAAAGAUCUCAUCCUAGAAGGUCAUUUAUGGAAAAAAUCAAUCUCUUUUUACUUUUUAUUUUUAAUAUUUUUUCUUUUUCUUUUUUAAUUGGAAUUUCAUUUUUUUUUUCUGCUUGAUGAAAUGUAUAAAUAAGAUAAUAUGUUUUAACAUAGACAUAUUUUGUUUGUUUCCUGUAAGAUGUUAUAACUAUAAAUUCUGUUUUUUUUUUAUUUGUAUUAAGUCCAUAUCAACAUUCUAUUAAGGAAAAAAGAAAAGAAAAACACAGUAGAUUAGUAGAUGUUAUGAUGUGUAUUGUGAGGAGAGUUUUGAUGUAAUUCAUUAAUUUUGGAACCAUUUAUAGCUCUAACAUGUGCAAGAUGGAUCAGCAUUCCAUGUACUAGUCAACACAUCUUUGGCAUGCUAACUGAUCUUUUUGAUAAAGUUUUUGCUUUAUUUCUCCCUUUGUAUGUUCUUUGGUGAUGAAUAUUUUAUAUGAUGUGUAUCAUGCAAAUAUGUUUACUUGAUAAUCUUUUUGAAAUUUGGUGCUGGUAAUCAAAAGUCCAGAAAAAGUUGGAUCACUCAAUUUAUAUUUUUUUUAAAUUUCCUUACUAGAGUAUAUUCAUGCAUAAUUUUAAUUACUCUAUGUAUAAAUGGCAGUUGGUAUUUUAUUGUCAUGAAAUGUGUUCUUUUUCUUUUCAGGGCCAUUUGGCAUCUUGCAACUAAGGUGAUAAAUGAUCUUGUAAGUGGUAGCUAUUACAAUUCAGCUGCGAAGGCUCCCAAUUUUUUCUUUUUUUUAUUCUUUUCUCUUGCAGUAAGGAUUAUUUUCUUUACUGCACCUAAGAUGUUGUUUAUGUUUCCUUUUCUUCGGGAUAAAAGGGCACUUAGCUUUCCCAAUUUUUCAUUAUGUUUCCUUUUGUCUUGAGUUUCUGUAGUCUGUAAUUCGACAUUUGGAAGGAUUUUGAUCUGCUUGUUACAGUGUUCUUUAAUCACAGUAGUAAAUAAAAAUAUGACAUGAAGCAGUAAUUUGUAGUAUGAAUGGAAAUGGUAUAAAAAUAGAUAUUGAACUCUUCUUAUUUUAAUUUGUAUAUCACUGUGUCUUAUUACUCUAGGG